AUACGGAGGGAGCUAGCGUUGUUCGGAAUUACUGGGCGUAAAGCGCACGUAGGCGGCUUUGUAAGUUAGAGGUGAAAGCCUGGAGCUCAACUCCAGAAUUGCCUUUAAGACUGCAUCGCUUGAAUCCAGGAGAGGUGAGUGGAAUUCCGAGUGUAGAGGUGAAAUUCGUAGAUAUUCGGAAGAACACCAGUGGCGAAGGCGGCUCACUGGACUGGUAUUGACGCUGAGGUGCGAAAGCGUGGGGAGAAAACAGGAUUAGAUACCCUGGUAGUCCACGCCGUAAACGAUGAUAACUAGCUGUCCGGGGACUUGGUCUUUGGGUGGCGCAGCUAACGCAUUAAGUAAUCCACCUGGGAAGUACGACCGCAAGGUUGAA
Molecule: ribosomal RNA, 376 nt
Filed under: uncultured bacterium
Lineage: Bacteria
Description: bacterial SSU rRNA
Rfam family: Bacterial small subunit ribosomal RNA
Source: RNAcentral